This 311-nucleotide long non-coding RNA is filed under the name Homo sapiens (human). RNAcentral describes it as "HSALNT0098580". The record is from RNAcentral. Lineage: Eukaryota; Metazoa; Chordata; Mammalia; Primates; Hominidae.
CCAUGGAGGUGGAGAAGAGGCAGGAGGCCACCUUGGAUCUGGAAGAUACUUCUGGGGCUUGUGGGCAUCUCAGUUUGGCAAAGGGGGCUGACUGAGCCCAACCCCUUCAGAGGAGAGGAGGACUAAAGAGAUGCCAGUCCAGGAAGGGGACCUUCAGGAGCAUGGGCAGCAGGGCCCAGGGAGGAGUAAUAGAACAGAGGCCUACAGGUGAGUGGCUGCGGGAGGAGAUGGGGCCUUGACCUUUGGAGGCUGUAGCCUGCCAUUGCUGUGAAGAUGCAGACAGAAGCCAGGGAUCCCAUGCCCCAAGUCCA